Molecule: ribosomal RNA, 261 nt
Filed under: uncultured Alphaproteobacteria bacterium
Lineage: Bacteria; Pseudomonadati; Pseudomonadota; Alphaproteobacteria
Description: partial 16S ribosomal RNA
Rfam family: Bacterial small subunit ribosomal RNA
Source: RNAcentral
AGCCCCGCAAGGGGAGCGGCAGACGGGAGAGUAACAUGUGUGCACGUACCCUUCGGGUAGGAACAACCCAGGGAAACUUGGGCUAAUACCGGAUACGUCCGAAAGGAGAAAGAUUUAUCGCCGAAGGAUCGGCCCGCGUCUGAUUAGCUAGUUGGUGGGGUAAUGGCCCACCAAGGCGACGAUCAGUAGCUGGUCUGAGAGGAUGAUCAGCCUCACUGGGACUGAGACACGGCCCAGACUCCUACGGGAGGCAGCAGUGGG